GGAUCACCCCUUUUAUUCACGUUCUUGAAUAUCCAAUUGUUUAAUAUAUUUUCCAAAUUUUACAGAUAAAUUUGCAAUGUAUAGGCCUUGACAGUUAUGUUACGGCCGCAAUGGUCUCGUUUCUUUUACAUGCAAAUGCAAUUGCAGCUGUGUUCCGCAACUGCAAUUUUAAAUCUGUGAAUGGAAUGCAAUUCCUAUAAUGCAAUUUCAUAUUCUUGUUUGGCAUAUAAGGAAUCGAAAUUUUUGUAAUAUUAUUACAUUUUAAUAAUUUGAAUUUGGUGAAAAUGAUAUCUAUUUUUAGUAUAUUC
Molecule: unclassified non-coding RNA, 308 nt
Filed under: Hevea brasiliensis (rubber tree)
Lineage: Eukaryota; Viridiplantae; Streptophyta; Magnoliopsida; Malpighiales; Euphorbiaceae
Source: RNAcentral